CAUGUUUUUUCUUCCAAUCUUGAGAAAAAAAAUAUUAAAUAAAGAGAUAAUUUUCAACAAUUGUAAUCCUCAGAGUGAUUAUGACUGUCAUCAUGAUUACAAAAUGUGAAAUGUGUGAAUAUGGCCGGAGGCAGGGCUCUGUCUAGUGGAGCAGUUAAGAGUUCUGGAAUCAAAUACACUUAGCUUUGGGUCCAAGCUCUGUGAGGUCAGCGUUGAUAUCAUUUCAAUGGUGGGAGAGAUACCGAGGCCGGGGAAGGUGAAGCAAUUUUCCCUAGAGUGCCCUGCAAAUACGUAGCAAAAAGUGAUCUCAGAGGCCUGGUAACUGGGUUUAAACAUUCCCUUUCCCUUACAGAGCAACAACCUUGGAAUUCGUAGAAAAUUGGAUGUCAGUUUCAAAUCUUGUUCCCUGUAUUGCAGAGGCACCAGUGUCACGUGAUUCAGGGUUGAUGUCCAGCCCAGAGCAUGGCUGUCCCGAAGGUGUCAUAGCAGUAGUGGCCCUCUGGAGCUGUUGUUUCCUCUAGGAAGAAAUACAGCCUUUUAGGAGUCUCAUAGAACUUCUUAGAUCCUACUGUUGAAGUCUGUGGCUCCUCUCUGGUGCAAUGGAUCCUGGGAAGAUGUGGCACAGAAGCCAUGUUGACUGUUCUUGCUGCCACGGGAACACUUAUCAGGAACCCCUUCAUUAUUCCGCCGAAAAAAAGUUUAUUGCACACCUGGAUGCCUUCUACAACUAUUCUGAUGAGACUCUGGCACACGUUAUUCCCACAUUUUCCAAGGCUCUUCAAGGCGCCAAGCCCUGGUAUGUGCUGUUCCCUUUCCUGGUUGUUCUCUACAACCCUUUCCACCCUUUAAAACCGCUCUCGAAUAUCACUUCCUCUGCAAAGCCUGCCAGAGAACUGCCAUCUUUGCAUGCAUCACAUUGCACGGUAAUUGUUUGUUUACACAUCUGUUUCCUCAACUAG
This 959-nucleotide long non-coding RNA is filed under the name Felis catus (domestic cat). RNAcentral's name for it is "lncRNA (ENSFCAG00000040489.2)". Lineage: Eukaryota; Metazoa; Chordata; Mammalia; Carnivora; Felidae. The record is from RNAcentral.